RNAcentral lists this ribosomal RNA (508 nucleotides) under uncultured bacterium. RNAcentral's name for it is "partial 16S ribosomal RNA". It matches the Rfam family "Bacterial small subunit ribosomal RNA", at positions 30 to 523 of the family's 1533-position model. The record is from RNAcentral.
AUUGAACGCUGGCGGCAUGCCUUACACAUGCAAGUCGAACGGCAGCGGGGGAGAAGCUUGCUUUUCCUGCCGGCGAGUGGCGAACGGGUGAGUAAUACAUCGGAACGUGCCCUGUAGUGGGGGAUAACUAGUCGAAAGAUUAGCUAAUACCGCAUACGACCUGAGGGUGAAAGUGGGGGACCGCAAGGCCUCAUGCUAUAGGAGCGGCCGAUGUCUGAUUAGGUAGUUGGGGGGGUAAAGGCCUACCAAGGCGACGAUCAGUAGCUGGUCUGAGAGGACGCUCAGCCACACUGGGACUGAGACACGGCCCAGACUCCUACGUGAGGCAGCAGUGGGGAAUUUUGGACAAUGGGCGAAAGCCUGAUCCAGCAAUGCCGCGUGUGUGAAGAAGGCCUUCGGGUUGUAAAGCACUUUUGUCCGGAAAGAAAUGGCUCUGGUUAAUACCUGGGGUCGAUGACGGUACCGGAAGAAUAAGGACCGGCUAACUACGUGCCAGCCGCCGCAGUAA